Molecule: RNA transcript, 4208 nt
Organism: Daphnia pulex (common water flea)
Lineage: Eukaryota; Metazoa; Arthropoda; Branchiopoda; Diplostraca; Daphniidae
Gene name: FGGY carbohydrate kinase domain-containing protein-like
Exons: 18
Source: RefSeq, a predicted model, not a curated record
CCUGCUGAUGUGAUAAGACAUCAUGUAUCUAAAAAACUAUUAUUGGUCUAUCGAAAUCGAAAGAUAUACUAUCCCUUAUCGAUCACCAUUAUCUUUGCCAUGUCCUAGUUAAAAACACAAUAAUAGUAUCCUUUUUUAAUAACCUUAGGGAACGUUCAACACUGUUCACUUGAGACCAGGCGGUGAAAUCAAACGUAAAGAUGGCGGUAUAUUUCAUUGGUGUCGACGUUGGGACAGCAAGUGUGAGAGCUGGAAUUUUUGAUCAAACCGGCCGAUUGCUGCAAAAUGCGACCCACGAGAUAAAGAUUUGGAAUCCAAAAGGAACGAAAGGCGAUUUUUAUCAACAGUCAUCUGAUGAUAUUUGGGAAUCUUGCUGCAAAGUCAUUAAAGAAGUGGUUGAGGGCAUUGAUGCAGAUUCUGUUGCAGGAAUUGGGUUUGAUGCUACAUGUUCGCUGGUGGCUCUUGACAAUGAAGAUAAGCCAAUAACGGUUAGCCCAACAGGGGAACACGAGCAAAAUGUUAUCAUGUGGAUGGACCACAGAGCAGUCCAGGAGACUGAAGUCAUCAAUGCUUUGAAUCAUUCUGCCUUUCAAUAUGUCGGAGGAAAAGUUUCCAUUGAGAUGCAGCUUCCAAAACUUCUUUGGCUUAAAAGAAAUCUCUGUGAUACUUGGUAUCAGACUAAGAGAUUCAUGGACCUGCCAGACUUUCUGACAUGGAAGGCCACUAAUAGUGAUGCUAGAUCCCUUUGCAGUGUGGUAUGCAAAUGGAACUACAUAGUUGAUGAAUCUGGAUGUCACGGUUGGCCCAGUGACUUGUUUGAGCUAGUUGGACUACAAGAACUUUUGGAAAACAAUGCAAGUCUCAUUGGAAGCAACAUCAAAUUCCCUGGCUCUCCACAAGGCUCAGGUCUGACAUUUUCUGUUGCCCAUGAGUUGGGAUUAAAACCAGGCACUCCGGUCGGCACUUCCCUGAUUGAUGCAUAUGCAGGAGCCCUUGGAUUAUUUGCUUGUCAUGCCGAUGCUCCAGUGGAUCAGAGACUAGCACUCAUUUGCGGUACUUCAACGUGCCAUAUGCUGAGCGUAUCUCAACCGACAUUUGUCAAUGGAGUGUGGGGUCCAUACGCCGAUGUCUUACUGCCAGGAAUGUGGUUGUUGGAAGGCGGGCAAAGCGCUACUGGGAAAUUAUUGGACCAUAUCGUCGAGACGCAUCCGUGUUAUACGUCGUUAAAAGAGCGAUUGCCGUCAACGAUUUCCAUUGCCGAAGAACUUUCCCGAAUCCUCCAUACCAUGUCACGCCCGACUGGACGACCCGUUUCCAAUUUGACUAAAGAUGUCCAUAUGUGGCCGGAUUUUCAUGGCAAUCGCUCUCCUUUAGCGGACCCUAAUGUUAAAGGCAUGAUUUGCGGUAUGACUUUGGACGCGUCAGAAGAGAACCUAGCGUUGCAUUACCUGGCUACCAUUCAGGCUUUAUGCUAUGGGACUCGUCAUAUAAUCGAAUCUAUGAGAGAACGCGACGUGGAAAUUGGGUGUUUGUUGCUUUGCGGUGGAUUGACCAAAAUCGACUUGUUUGCUGUCACUAUGGCCGACGCCGUUGGUCUGCCCGUUGUUCUCCCCAACAAGAAAGAGUCUGUUCUUCUCGGUUCAGCGAUGCUGGGAGCCUGCGCUUCAACGCAUUUCUCCUCUCUCAACGAAGCAAUGAUCAAAAUGGGUGGUCAUGGAAAAACAAUUCAACCGAACCAACAAGACAGAAAGUUCCACGAUCGCAAGUACAGAGUGUUUAUGAAAAUGCUGCAGGACCAAAAAGAUUAUGAAAAGAUCAUGAACUCCAACUAAAUUGUUAACCAAUCGUUUUUGUAUCCCAUCAUCAGGAUAUUGGGCUUCACUUUACCAACACCAGAAAGGCCCAGCAUGGCCGCCACGCCCGUGUGGAGAUUUGAAUUAUCCGCAACGGAACAGAAUCCUUUGAUGUUGGUGAAUCGCAGAUAUCGAUAAGCUUUUUGUUGCAAUUUCGACCGCAUUUCAAAUGUUAAUCGUUCCUGUUUUGAUCAAUUGAAUGAGUAUAGACAUUGAAUAAGUGGUUUCAAAAUGUCCAUACCUCGACGAUGUUUCCGCAGACCAUCAGGGAAUUAUUUUUACAAAUGAGAUAGGCAAAGUCUACCAGAGCUGGACGAGUGUUGGGGAGUCCCGUUAGAACCAAAAUCUGCGGCCUAUAAUUCUUGACGUGUUCCUCGAUGUGAACGAGUUGUUGGAUACUCGUCAGAGCGGCCCGAUACGUUUGUGCUUGAGUCGAUGAUCCCCAGUUAACCUCUUUGAGAAAUCGAAAUUAACUCCAUGUCUUUAUUCUUUUUAAAAAUUGCAGUGCCUUACCUGGUUUACGAUAGAGGACCACCAUGUAGAAAAACGAGACAAUGCCAAUUGUGAUCAUGGCUAUAGGAAGACUGAUGAGGAUCAUGGAGGCGACGGACAAUAGGCCCGUCAACAGACUCAGCCAAGUGUUGUAAUACUAAAGAUCACCGGAAACGUUAGCACCGGCCAGGAUACCAAUACUAGCUGGAAAGUAAACGGAAAACACGGAAAUAAAAUUCUGCAUUUGUCCUCCGGUGAUGGUGUAAGCUGGAUCCCAAUUCUCGAUACCGCUGUAGCCAAUGAAUCCUCUUGCUUCUUCCAACUCGGACGAUGGUCCCAUAAUACUUCCGGCUAAGAAAUUAGCUAAUGAAGCCAACAUGAUGACAAACAUGAUGUCUUUCAUCUGUUUUCAAGACCACAGAUUGCUGUGAUAAAUAUCAUCGUGACGGUUCCGAUGAUGCGGAUGUCAUUAUCUGCUCCGUCGAUGAUAAUUACUCCGCCGUAUUCCAACAUCAUGUCCUGCACGGCUUGAGCGAAUCCGACGACAUUAAGGGAGCAAUCCAUCGCGUUGGCGAUUGCGAAGAUGAUUCCGAUGGAUCCGCCAAAUUCCGGACCCAAAACCCUUGACCUAUUUUCCUCAAAAUAAUUUGUUUUUUCUAGAAUUCUUUUUAUGGCUUGAGUUUGGAAACUUACAUGACGAAAUAAGUGCCACCUGUAACAGACAUGGACAAGGCCGUCACCAAAGUGAUGAACGUUGAAAUGGCAAUGAUGACCAACGUUUCGCCUUUACGGAGAGUCGCAAGAAGAGCAUAACACCCCAGAUGCUCAUCAUGUUGCGGAUUAAAACGCCUUCGAUCCAUCCAAAUUUGACAGGUUCCACAACAGGUUCUUUUUCCAUUUCAUUUUGACUUUCAUCAAUUGUCGUCUGCCAAGAAUGUAUUUAAUAUUAAAGUUGAUUUAGUAGCAGAUGAUGACCAGUUGUUGUACCUCAUUGGUAUUUUGUAGUUGUACCUCCUCGUUUGCAGGAUUGCAUAAUUCGUGCAUUGUGGGCCGCCUGACGGUCGUUUGAACCUGUUGCGUUGGUUGUGUUCUGUAAUGUUCUAUACUGGGGAUGACAUCACGGCUCAUUUUUCGAUUCCUGUCAUGCGAGGAAACAGUCGCUACACUUCCCUUUCGAUUGGUUAAACCUGUGAUUGAAUUGUCGUUUCCAAUUUGGGCUGAUCCUUGCGGAAUGUUUUCCAUUUCUAUUCCGGUUGGGACGUAGGUCGACACUUUAAAUCGGCUUCCAUCCGCAAAUUCUCUUGCUUUUGUUACCCUCAUUUCCUAAUAGCAGAAUAAGUAAUGAACUCAAAACUCUAAUUUGUUCAGUUGCUGUCGGCUAAACACCUGCUGUUGUUGACUUUCAGCCGCUGGAUUAUGCAAUUCGUGCAAGGUAGGAAGAAUUUCCAUUUGGCCUUGAUAACCUGUUCGGUAUGAACAACUGCUGGCGUCGACUUCAUUCUUCAUCUUUCCAACUUGUGUGUCAGAAAUAACAUCGAUGGGUAUGUUAUUCACCUUUUCUUCCACCACACAAUUUUCUUCAUUUUCGGUUGACUGUAUCAGAUUAUGAUCAAUGGAUUCAGGUUGUCUAAACUUUAGUUUUGAGUUUUUACUUACGUCUUCGAAUGCCUUGUUAUCCAUUUCUUUAUUUUUUUUUAAUUUGAAAUUGUUGCUGGCGAUUCCUCUCUAAAAAUGAUCUAACAUUUCUUUAGAAAACCCAGAAUUUUUGUAACUAGCGGCUAUAUGUAGCAACGCAACUUUUAAAUUAAAACUAGACCAGACGACCCUAAUAAUGUAUUCAAAUAAAACCGGUUGAAAUUAAGA